GCCCUUAUGGCACAAUGGCUAAGUGCUUGGCUGCUAACCAAAAGGUUGGUGGUUCAAAUCCACCAGAGGCU
Molecule: transfer RNA, 71 nt
Filed under: Loxodonta africana (African savanna elephant)
Lineage: Eukaryota; Metazoa; Chordata; Mammalia; Proboscidea; Elephantidae
Rfam family: tRNA
About the family: Transfer RNA (tRNA) molecules are approximately 80 nucleotides in length. Their secondary structure includes four short double-helical elements and three loops (D, anti-codon, and T loops).
Source: Rfam by way of RNAcentral